GACAGAGGGUGCAAACGCUGUUCGGAUUUACUGGGCGUAAAGCGUGUGUAGGCGGCUUGGCAAGUUGGAUGUGAAAGCCCACGGCUCAACCGUGGAAGCGCACCCAAAACUGCUUCGCUCGAGUCUCGGAGAGGAAGGUGGAAUGCUUGGUGUAGAGGUGAAAUUCGUAGAUAUCAAGCAGAACACCUGCGGCGAAGGCGGCCUUCUGGACGAUGACUGACGCUGAGACACGAAAGCGUGGGGAGCAAACAGG
This 253-nucleotide ribosomal RNA is filed under the name uncultured bacterium. Its description in RNAcentral is "partial 16S ribosomal RNA". It matches the Rfam family "Bacterial small subunit ribosomal RNA", at positions 524 to 776 of the family's 1533-position model. The record is from RNAcentral.